Molecule: ribosomal RNA, 484 nt
Filed under: uncultured bacterium
Lineage: Bacteria
Description: bacterial SSU rRNA
Rfam family: Bacterial small subunit ribosomal RNA
Source: RNAcentral
GAUGAACGCUAGCGGGAGGCUUAACACAUGCAAGUCGAGGGGCAGCACGGGUAGCAAUACUUGGUGGCGACCGGCAGACGGGUGAGUAACGCGUAUGUAACCUACCCCAUACAGAGGGAUAACUCGAAGAAAUUCGGACUAAUAUCUCAUAAGACCACACGAGGACAUCCGAGAGUGGUUAAAGUUCCGGCGGUAUGGGCUGGGCAUGCGUAACAUUAGCUAGUUGGUAAGGUAACGGCUUACCAAGGCUUCGAUGUUUAGGGGUCCUGAGAGGGUGGUCCCCCACACUGGUACUGAGACACGGACCAGACUCCUACGGGAGGCAGCAGUGAGGAAUAUUGGUCAAUGGGCGCAAGCCUGAACCAGCCAUCCCGCGUGCAGGAAGACGGCCCUAUGGGUUGUAAACUGCUUUUCCAGGGGGCGAAUAGCUCUUACGUGUAAGGGUAUGACUGUACCUUGGGAAUAAGCAUCGGCUAACUUCGUG